This 211-nucleotide ribosomal RNA is filed under the name uncultured bacterium. RNAcentral describes it as "partial 16S ribosomal RNA". It matches the Rfam family "Bacterial small subunit ribosomal RNA", at positions 1289 to 1500 of the family's 1533-position model. The record is from RNAcentral.
CAGUUCGGAUUGAAGGCUGAAAUUCGCCUUCAUGAAGCCGGAAUUGCUAGUAAUGGCAGGUCAGCAUACUGCCGUGAAUACGUUCCCAGGCCUUGUACACACCGCCCGUCACACCAUGAGAGUUGGGGAUACCCGAAGCCUGUGAGCUAACUUUUAGAGGCAGCAGUCGAAGGUAGAAUCAAUGAUUGGGGUGAAGUCGUAACAAGGUAUC